Molecule: ribosomal RNA, 429 nt
Filed under: Chloroflexota bacterium
Lineage: Bacteria; Bacillati; Chloroflexota
Description: Chloroflexi bacterium partial 16S ribosomal RNA
Rfam family: Bacterial small subunit ribosomal RNA
Source: RNAcentral
UGGGGAAUAUUGCACAAUGGGCGCAAGCCUGAUGCAGCCAUGCCGCGUGUAUGAAGAAGGCCUUCGGGUUGUAAAGUACUUUCAGCGGGGAGGAAGGGAGUAAAGUUAAUACCUUUGCUCAUUGACGUUACCCGCAGAAGAAGCACCGGCUAACUCCGUGCCAGCAGCCGCGGUAAUACGGAGGGUGCAAGCGUUAAUCGGAAUUACUGGGCGUAAAGCGCACGCAGGCGGUUUGUUAAGUCAGAUGUGAAAUCCUCGGGCUCAACCUGGGAACUGCAUCUGAUACUGGCAAGCUUGAGUCUCGUAGAGGGGGGUAGAAUUCCAGGUGUAGCGGUGAAAUGCGUAGAGAUCUGGAGGAAUACCGGUGGCGAAGGCGGCCCCCUGUACGAAGACUGACGCUCAGGUGCGAAAGCGUGGGGAGCAAACAGG